GGGGCUGUAGCUCAGUUGGUAGAGCGCUUGCCUAGCAUGCACUAGGGUUCGAUCCUCAGCACCA
This 64-nucleotide transfer RNA is filed under the name Ictidomys tridecemlineatus (thirteen-lined ground squirrel). Its description in RNAcentral is "Spermophilus tridecemlineatus (thirteen-lined ground squirrel) tRNA". It matches the Rfam family "tRNA". Rfam says of the family: Transfer RNA (tRNA) molecules are approximately 80 nucleotides in length. Their secondary structure includes four short double-helical elements and three loops (D, anti-codon, and T loops). The record is from Rfam by way of RNAcentral. Lineage: Eukaryota; Metazoa; Chordata; Mammalia; Rodentia; Sciuridae.